Molecule: non-coding RNA, 108 nt
Organism: Pelobates cultripes (western spadefoot toad)
Lineage: Eukaryota; Metazoa; Chordata; Amphibia; Anura; Pelobatidae
Source: the annotation of a GenBank genome assembly
CUCUUUCUAGUGAAUAUUGCAGUUUCUCCAUUAACAUACGGUAACUUAUAAGCUAAAGCACAUAUGUUAAUGGAGAAACUGCAAUAUUCACUAGUAAGGGUAGAGGGG